ACCGGCAGCUCAAGUGGUGGCCAUUUUUAUUGGGCCUAAAGCGUUCGUAGCCGGUUUGAUAAGUCUCUGGUGAAAUCCCGCAGCUUAACUGUGGGACUUGCUGGAGAUACUAUUAGACUUGAGGUCGGGAGAGGUUAGGGGUACUCCCAGGGUGGGGUGAAAGGCUAAUAGGCCUGGAAGAACACCCGGGGCCAAGGGGGCCUACCUGAAAGGAACUGGCGGGGGAUAAAGUAAGGCCAGGGCCACGACCG
This 251-nucleotide ribosomal RNA is filed under the name uncultured prokaryote. RNAcentral describes it as "partial 16S rRNA". It matches the Rfam family "Archaeal small subunit ribosomal RNA", at positions 475 to 725 of the family's 1478-position model. The record is from RNAcentral.